This 506-nucleotide ribosomal RNA is filed under the name uncultured bacterium. Its description in RNAcentral is "partial 16S ribosomal RNA". It matches the Rfam family "Bacterial small subunit ribosomal RNA", at positions 29 to 523 of the family's 1533-position model. The record is from RNAcentral.
AGUGAACGCUGGCGGUAGGCCUAACACAUGCAAGUCGAACGGCAGCACAGGAGAGCUAGCUCUCUGGGUGGCGAGUGGCGGACGGGUGAGGAAUACAUCGGAAUCUACUCUGUCGUGGGGGAUAACGUAGGGAAACUUACGCUAAUACCGCAUACGACCUACGGGUGAAAGCAGGGGACCUUCGGGCCUGGCGCGAUUGAAUGAGCCGAUGUCGGAUUAGCUAGUUGGCGGGGUAAAGGCCCACCAAGGCGACGAUCCGUAGCUGGUCUGAGAGGAUGAUCAGCCACACUGGAACUGAGACACGGUCCAGACUCCUACGGGAGGCAGCAGUGGGGAAUAUUGGACAAUGGGCGCAAGCCUGAUCCAGCCAUACCGCGUGGGUGAAGAAGGCCUUCGGGUUGUAAAGCCCUUUUGUUGGGAAAGAAAUCCAGCUGGCUAAUACCCGGUUGGGAUGACGGUACCCAAAGAAUAAGCACCGGCUAACUUCGUGCCAGCAGCCGCGGUAA